Molecule: long non-coding RNA, 1760 nt
Organism: Homo sapiens (human)
Lineage: Eukaryota; Metazoa; Chordata; Mammalia; Primates; Hominidae
Exons: 2
Source: RefSeq, a predicted model, not a curated record
ACUUUAAAGUGUCAAGGUGAGAUAAAGCAUAAUGUUAAACACAAUAUCAAAACAAAAUAGUCUCCUCUUGUAAGCCCCCUUUUAAGUCUCAUAAGAGAUCCCGAAUCCCAGAAAUUAUUCAUAGGGUUCCUAUCAUGACUAUUUAUUUAAUCUCAGAAGCUGAAUCUGUACGUAUUUUUCUUCAGGUCAUCAGCUUUGGGAUAGGUUUCAUCAUUGAUUGUAUCAUGACAAUUUAAACAGACAUACUUAUGGUAAUGUACUUUGUUCUAAAUCAAUCUUAUUUUGGUUGUAAACAGUUGCAUAUAUAAAAUACAGGUAAUCAUUCUAUUUACCAAGAGUGAAAUCAAGCAUUCUAAAGUGAUUCAUUUAGAGACCUGUAAAUACACUGAAUUUUAAAAAUUACAAAAUGUAAAGUAUACUACUGGGCCCUAUAGAAUUUGGCAUUUUUAAAGACUGAUAUGGUAAUUCAUAUUUCUGCAGUUGUAACAUGAAAUGAUAUAUUAAUCCCAGAAAUAUUUAAGGAAAUUGUUAAUAGACAAAAAAGUUAAUUAUGUAAUUUAUCUGUACUAGACUGACAACUAUGUGCAAGCAUAAUAGCCAAAAUUUGAUAUUUUUGUUACUUCAAACUAUUAGGUGUACGUUACAGAGAUAUACAACAGCCUUCAGUUUCAUCAGAUCUCAGUGGACAAAACAUCUGUAAAACUAAAAACCACUAUGAAGUUUCCACCCUCACUGGUAAUCAACAUAAAAGUACCUGGAUAUAGAACAAUCUUCAUUUUAGAGGGGGAUUCCUUCUGAUAUGGAUUGAAGUACAUAGUUAGUAUGGGAAUCUUGCUUUGAGAAAAAGGUAAAAAUAAUAGAUUUCUAUAUUUAAAAGAAGAAGAAGAACAACAACAACAACCACCACCCCAAACUCAUAAAAGGGUAUAUGUCUACAACAGGUUGAAAUGUUUGGUACUAAUAAUGAAUGAGCUGUUCAAUCUGAAUGUACCAGAAAGAACAUUAGUAAGACAUGGUACUUUAUAAUGAUUGAUGACCUAAUUCUAUAAAGUACUGUGGAUUAUCUCCAAGACUCAAGACUAUUAGCAGUCUAAAGAUAUAACUGUAUGAAUGACCACACAAUCAUUUCAAAUUAGUAGGGAUCCUUACUAGGACAGAAUCCUCUGGUUUCCUGCUGAUGACAAAGUUAUGGGGAAAUAGUGUUACAUAACACGUGUCAUACUUUGAAACAUGUUCCCGCCCAAAUUCCACACUUUGACAAAUCGGGAUAGACAUAGAUGAUAGAGUCCUUUAAGAAAGCAAAAGAUCCUGGAAAUGGCAGUCUUAUUAAAUUAAAAUAAAGAGCCAACCCAAUCAAAGCAUGGGAAUUCGGUUACUUCCUUUCAACAGACCUUAAAAGGGUAAGAAAUCCAGUCAGUAAACAGCCACCCAACCACCACUGUUAGUAGGAGCUAAGUGAAGAAACUUACUCUGUGCCCAGCCUUAGUGGAAUGAAGAAGUUGAUUGCAGACAGGGGGGAUGAAAAAAAAAGGGUGAAACAUGACCAAUGUUAAAAGAAAGCAACAAAAAGAAACCAAAAAAAAAAAAGAGAACAAAAAACCCAUACCAAAUGAGCAAACAAUUGUUAAUGAUUUCUGAGUGUUAUGAAAGAAAAUGUUAAAAAUCAGCUGUGCUCAAAACAAUACCAAAAUAAAUAUUUGCUUUAUUUUUGAACAUGACACACACACUUUUUAAUAAAUUUGUCUUGUCAGUUUCUCCUA